GGUUAAGCGACUAAGCGUACACGGUGGAUGCCCUGGCAGUCAGAGGCGAUGAAGGACGUGCUAAUCUGCGAAAAGCGUCGGUAAGGUGAUAUGAACCGUUAUAGCCGGCGAUGUCCGAAUGGGGAAACCCAGUGCAAUUCGUUGCACUAUCGUUAACUGAAUACAUAGGUUAACGAGGCGAACCGGGGGAACUGAAACAUCUAAGUACCCCGAGGAAAAGAAAUCAACCGAGAUUCCCCCAGUAGCGGCGAGCGAACGGGGAGCAGCCCAGAGUCUGAAUCAGCUUGUGUGUUAGUGGAACGGUCUGGAAAGUCCGACGGUACAGGGUGAUAGUCCCGUACACCAAAAUGCACAGGCUGUGAACUCGAAGAGUAGGGCGGGACACGUGGUAUCCUGUCUGAAUAUGGGGGGA
RNAcentral lists this ribosomal RNA (412 nucleotides) under Klebsiella pneumoniae. RNAcentral's name for it is "partial 23S ribosomal RNA". It matches the Rfam family "Bacterial large subunit ribosomal RNA", at positions 1 to 452 of the family's 2925-position model. The record is from RNAcentral. RNAcentral also lists the same sequence under 1 other name. Lineage: Bacteria; Pseudomonadati; Pseudomonadota; Gammaproteobacteria; Enterobacterales; Enterobacteriaceae.